UAGGGAAUCUUCGGCAAUGGACGAAAGUCUGACCGAGCAACGCCGCGUGAGUGAAGAAGGUUUUCGGAUCGUAAAACUCUGUUGUUAGAGAAGAACAAGGACGUUAGUAACUGAACGUCCCCUGACGGUAUCUAACCAGAAAGCCACGGCUAACUACGUGCCAGCAGCCGCGGUAAUACGUAGUUGGCAAGCGUUGUCCGGAUUUAUUGGGCGUAAAGCGAGCGCAGGCGGUUUCUUAAGUCUGAUGUGAAAGCCCCCGGCUCAACCGGGGAGGGUCAUUGGAAACUGGGAGACUUGAGUGCAGAAGAGGAGAGUGGAAUUCCAUGUGUAGCGGUGAAAUGCGUAGAUAUAUGGAGGAACACCAGUGGCGAAGGCGGCUCUCUGGUCUGUAACUGACGCUAAGGCUCGAAAGCGUGGGGAGCAAACAGG
This 429-nucleotide ribosomal RNA is filed under the name Gemmatimonadota bacterium. RNAcentral describes it as "Gemmatimonadetes bacterium partial 16S ribosomal RNA". It matches the Rfam family "Bacterial small subunit ribosomal RNA", at positions 355 to 776 of the family's 1533-position model. The record is from RNAcentral. Lineage: Bacteria; Pseudomonadati; Gemmatimonadota.